Molecule: ribosomal RNA, 423 nt
Filed under: uncultured bacterium
Lineage: Bacteria
Description: bacterial SSU rRNA
Rfam family: Bacterial small subunit ribosomal RNA
Source: RNAcentral
AACGCGAAGAACCUUACCUGGGUUCAAUCUUGCUUGCACCACCCGUUAUGGGGUGUACCCGCAAGGGACAGGCAGGACGGUGCUGCAUGGCUGUCGUCAGCUCGUGCCGUGAGGUGUUGGGUUAAGUCCCCUAACGAGCGCAACCCCCGGCGUCGGUUAUACCUCCGACGCAACUGCCGCGCACAACGCGGAGGAAGGUGGGGAUGACGUCAAGUCAGCACGGCCCUUACGCCCAGGGCGACACACACGCUACAAUGGUCAGGACAAUGGGCUGCCACUCCGCGAGGAGGAGCUAAUCCCGCAAACCUGGCCUCAGUUCGGAUGGUAGGCUGCAACUCGCCUGCCUGAAGUCGGAGUUGCUAGUAACCGCAGGUCAGCACACUGCGGUGAAUACGUUCCCGGGCCUUGUACACACCGUGUCGA